Molecule: long non-coding RNA, 1035 nt
Organism: Musca vetustissima
Lineage: Eukaryota; Metazoa; Arthropoda; Insecta; Diptera; Muscidae
Exons: 2
Source: RefSeq, a predicted model, not a curated record
UUUUUUAGUGCAAACCUUGCUUUCCUAAAUACUCCAGACACAAUAGUCCAACGGAUUGGUAUCCGGUGAUUUUGGUGGCCAUUCGAGGAGGAACCUCAUUUUAUAACCAUUCUUGGGUGGCGCGUGCUGAGUGCGAUGCUGCUGAGUCCUGUUGGAAUGCCCAAAACCUGCGGCCAUAAUGUUUGGGUGCCCAAGGCUUUAAUACACCCUCCAGAAUAUUUUCGCAAUACUAUUCGGCAUUUAUUCUGAUGCCACGGUCGAUUAAUACGAUCGGAGGGCGACCAUUGGCUGUUAUGGUGGCCCACACUAUCACCAUGGCCGGCGCUUGAGUUCUGGUGGCCAACCGAAGCUGCAUAUUUUCAGCUGACCUCUUUGGCAAGUAAACACGAUAAUGUUGUUUGUUUACUAACAACUGGACUACGAAUGUUUUCUCCUCGGAAGAAACCUAAAUUCGCAGUUCACCACUUUCGGCCAAGUGAAGCAGUUCUUUUGAGUCUAUUUUCUUUCUGUUGCGAUGUAAGUUCUCUAACUUUUUCGAAUUUCAAUGGCUUUACCACGAGAUCAUUUUUCAAUAUUUGCCGAAUGGAAUAUUGCGAUAUGGUUCAGCUUACGAGUCAUUUUUCGGCCACUGCGACGCGGGUUUCAAUCAAGUCGCUUCUUUACUUUUCGAACCAUUUCUGCUGAUGUUGCUGUUGUCUUCCGUCCACUUCCUUGUAGUCGGGCUACGCGCUACCACUAUCACGGCAACGAGCGAUGGUACGAGACACAAACGAUUUAUUCACAUUUAAAUGCUGGAGUGCUCUAACGAUAGCCUCUAGAGGUUUUCCAACCAAAUAGAAAGAAAUCAGACUAUCACGCUUGAAUUCCAUCACGAACAACUUUUUUCUGGAAAAUUCUCACCAAAAUGCUUUUGUAUGUUUUUAAACAAUAUAAUAAGCUAUCACUGGAAUAAUUUUAACAGCUGUCGGACGAGUGGCUUAGAAAUGACAGCAGUCUGAAGUUGGUGGCAGUUUUUUCAUCUCACCCUGUAUAUGU